UACAGAGGGUGCGAGCGUUAAUCGGAAUUACUGGGCGUAAAGGGUGCGUAGGUGGUUUGAUAAGUUAGGUGUGAAAGUCCCGGGCUUAACCUGGGGAUUGCGCCUGAUACUGUCAGGCUAGAGUACUGUAGAGGGAAGUGGAAUUUCCGGUGUAGCGGUGAAAUGCGUAGAUAUCGGAAGGAACACCAGUGGCGAAGGCGACUUCCUGGACAGAUACUGACACUGAGGCACGAAAGCGUGGGGAGCAAACAGG
Molecule: ribosomal RNA, 253 nt
Filed under: uncultured bacterium
Lineage: Bacteria
Description: partial 16S ribosomal RNA
Rfam family: Bacterial small subunit ribosomal RNA
Source: RNAcentral